RNAcentral lists this ribosomal RNA (869 nucleotides) under uncultured archaeon. RNAcentral describes it as "bacterial SSU rRNA". It matches the Rfam family "Archaeal small subunit ribosomal RNA", at positions 27 to 900 of the family's 1478-position model. The record is from RNAcentral.
CUGCUAUCGGAUUGAUACUAAGCCAUGCGAGUCAUUGUAGCAAUACAAGGCAUACGGCUCAGUAACGCGUAGUCAACCUAACCUAUGGACGGGAAUAACCUCGGGAAACUGAGAAUAAUGCCCGAUAGAACAUUAUGCCUGGAAUGGUUUAUGUUCCAAAUGAUUUAUCGCCGUAGGAUGGGACUGCGGCCUAUCAGUUUGUUGGUGAGGUAAUGGCCCACCAAGACUAUUACAGGUACGGGCUCUGAGAGGAGUAGCCCGGAGAUGGGUACUGAGACACGGACCCAGGCCCUAUGGGGCGCAGCAGGCGAGAAAACUUUGCAAUGUGCGAAAGCACGACAAGGUUAAUCCGAGUGGUUUCUGCUAAAGGAACCUUUUUGUCAGUCCUAGAAACACUGAUGAAUAAGGGGUGGGCAAGUUCUGGUGUCAGCCGCCGCGGUAAAACCAGCACCUCAAGUGGUCAGGAUGAUUAUUGGGCCUAAAGCAUCCGUAGCCCGGCUCUGUAAGUUUUCGGUUAAAUCUGUACGCUCAACGUACAGGCUGCCGGGAAUACUGCAAAGCUAGGGAGUGGGAGAGGUAGACGGUACUCGGUAGGAAGGGGUAAAAUCCUUUGAUCUAUUGAUGACCACCUGUGGCGAAGGCGGUCUACCAGAACACGUCCGACGGUGAGGGAUGAAAGCUGGGGGAGCAAACCGGAUUAGAUACCCGGGUAGUCCCAGCUGUAAACCAUGCAAACUCAGUGAUGCAUUGGCUUGUGGCCAAUGCAGUGCUGCAGGGAAGCCGUUAAGUUUGCCGCCUGGGAAGUACGUACGCAAGUAUGAAACUUAAAGGAAUUGGCGGGGGAGCACCACAAGGGGUGAAGCCUGCGG